Molecule: ribosomal RNA, 515 nt
Filed under: uncultured archaeon
Lineage: Archaea
Description: bacterial SSU rRNA
Rfam family: Archaeal small subunit ribosomal RNA
Source: RNAcentral
AGUUCACUGCUAUNGGGGUUCGAUUAAGCCAUGCGAGUNGAGAGGGUUCGGCCCUCGGCGUACUGCUCAGUAACACGUGGAUAACCUGCCCUAGGGAAGAGGAUAACCCCGGGAAACUGGGGAUAAUACGCUAUAGAUUACAGAUGCUGGAAUGCCCUGUUAUCCAAAGUUCCGACGCCCUAGGAUGGAUCUGCGGCCGAUGAGGUUGUUGUUGGGGUAAUCGCCCAACANGCCCGUAAUCGGUACGGGUUGUGGGAGCAAGAGCCCGGAGUUGGAUUCUGAGACACGAAUCNAGGCCCUACGGGGCGCAGCAGGCGCGAAAACUGUACAAUGCGGGCAACCGUGAUAAGGGUACCUCGAGUGCCUGUAAAUGCAGGCUGUUCAGGAGCCUAAAACACACCUGAAGAAAGGGCUGGGCAAGACCGGUGCCAGCCGCCGCGGUAAUACCGGCGGCUCGAGUGGUGGCCGCUUUUAAUGGGCUUAAAGCGUUCGUAGCUGGGUUGUUAAGUCUCUUG